RNAcentral lists this ribosomal RNA (627 nucleotides) under uncultured bacterium. Its description in RNAcentral is "bacterial SSU rRNA". It matches the Rfam family "Bacterial small subunit ribosomal RNA", at positions 62 to 684 of the family's 1533-position model. The record is from RNAcentral.
UCGAACGGGGAUUACACGGGGAUGCGAUUUCGGUCAAAUCAAGUGCAAUCUUACUGGCGGACGGGUGAGUAACGCGUGGGUAACCUGCCUUGCACUGGGGGAUAACACUUAGAAAUAGGUGCUAAUACCGCAUAAGCGCACGGUCCCGCAUGGGACAGUGUGAAAAACUCCGGUGGUGCAAGAUGGACCCGCGUCUGAUUAGCUGGUUGGCGGGGUAAAGGCCCACCAAGGCGACGAUCAGUAGCCGGCCUGAGAGGGUGGACGGCCACAUUGGGACUGAGACACGGCCCAAACUCCUACGGGAGGCAGCAGUGGGGGAUAUUGGACAAUGGGGGGAACCCUGAUCCAGCGACGCCGCGUGAGUGAAGAAGUAUUUCGGUAUGUAAAGCUCUGUCAGCAGGGAAGAAAGCAAUGACGGUACCUGACCAAGAAGCCCCGGCUAACUACGUGCCAGCAGCCGCGGUAAUACGUAGGGGGCAAGCGUUAUCCGGAAUUACUGGGUGUAAAGGGAGCGUAGACGGCUGUGCAAGUCUGGAGUGAAAGGCGGGGGCCCAACCCCCGGACUGCUCUGGAAACUGUAUGGCUGGAGUGCAGGAGAGGUAAGCGGAAUUCCUAGUGUAGCGGUGA